RNAcentral lists this ribosomal RNA (478 nucleotides) under uncultured bacterium. RNAcentral's name for it is "bacterial SSU rRNA". It matches the Rfam family "Bacterial small subunit ribosomal RNA", at positions 31 to 507 of the family's 1533-position model. The record is from RNAcentral.
GAACGCUGGCGGCAUGCCUUACACAUGCAAGUCGAAACGGCAGCGAACCUUCGGGUGUCGGCGAGUGGCGAACGGGUGAGUAAAGUAUCGGAACGUACCAUUCAGUGGGGAUAACGUAGCGAAAGUUACGCUAAUACCGCAUAUUCUGUGAGCAGGAAAGCAGGGGAUCGCAAGACCUUGCGCUGAUUGAGCGGCCGAUAUCAGAUUAGCUAGUUGGUGAGGUAAAGGCUCACCAAGGCGACGAUCUGUAGCGGGUCUGAGAGGAUGAUCCGCCACACUGGGACUGAGACACGGCCCAGACUCCUACGGGAGGCAGCAGUGGGAAUUUUGGACAAUGGGGGCAACCCUGAUCCAGCCAUGCCGCGUGAGUGAAGAAGGCCUUCGGGUUGUAAAGCUCUUUCGGCCGGGAAGAAAUCGUGUGGGCUAAUACCCUGCAUGGAUGACGGUACCGGAAUAAGAAGCACCGGCUAACUACGUG